AUACGUAGGGGGCGAGCGUUGUCCGGAAUGAUUGGGCGUAAAGGGCGCGUAGGCGGCCUGUUAAGUCUGGAGUGAAAGUCCUGUUUUCAAGAUGGGAAUUGCUUUGGAUACUGAUGUGCUUGAGUGCAGGAGAGGUUAUCGGAAUUCCCGGUGUAGCGGUGAAAUGCGUAGAGAUCGGGAGGAACACCAGUGGCGAAGGCGGGUAACAGGACGACAAUGGACGUUGAGGCUCGAAAGCGUGGGGAGCAAACAGGAUUAGAUUCCCUGGUAGUCCACGCCGUAAACGAUGAAUACUAGGUGUCGGGUUUCUAUAGAGAUUCGGUGCCGCAGCAAACGCAAUAAGUAUUCCACCUGGGGAGUACGUUCGCAAGAAUGAAACUCAAAGGAAUUGACGGGG
This 397-nucleotide ribosomal RNA is filed under the name uncultured bacterium. Its description in RNAcentral is "partial 16S ribosomal RNA". It matches the Rfam family "Bacterial small subunit ribosomal RNA", at positions 523 to 918 of the family's 1533-position model. The record is from RNAcentral.